CAGCGCCACGAGUAGGGACCAGUAUUAUUGGGCCUAAAGCGUCCGUAGCCGGAUUAGUAAAUUCCUUGUGAAAUUGUUGGGCUUAACCUAACAGCGUGCAGAGAACACUGCUAAUCUUGAGACCGGGAGGCGUUAGAGGUAUGCAUGGGGUAGUGGUAAAAUGCAGUAAUCCCAUGUGGACCACCUGUGGCGAAGGCGUCUAACGAGAACGGGUCUGACGGUGAGGGACGAAAGCUAGGGGAGCGAACCGGAUUAGAGACCCGAGUAGUCC
This 271-nucleotide ribosomal RNA is filed under the name uncultured archaeon. RNAcentral's name for it is "partial 16S ribosomal RNA". It matches the Rfam family "Archaeal small subunit ribosomal RNA", at positions 477 to 747 of the family's 1478-position model. The record is from RNAcentral.